Molecule: ribosomal RNA, 254 nt
Filed under: uncultured bacterium
Lineage: Bacteria
Description: partial 16S ribosomal RNA
Rfam family: Bacterial small subunit ribosomal RNA
Source: RNAcentral
UACGUAGGGGGCAAGCGUUGUCCGGAUUUAUUGGGCGUAAAGAGCUCGUAGGUGGUUUGGUAAGUCGGAUGUGAAAUCUCCAGGCUCAACCUGGAGGGGUCAUUCGAUACUGCCAUGACUAGAGGUCGGUAGGGGAGUGUGGAAUUCCUGGUGGAGCGGUGAAAUGCGCAGAUAUCAGGAGGAACACCAAUUGCGAAGGCAGCUCGCUGGGACGUUACUGACGCUGAGACGCGAAAGCGUGGGGAGCAAACAGG